RNAcentral lists this ribosomal RNA (371 nucleotides) under uncultured organism. RNAcentral's name for it is "bacterial SSU rRNA". It matches the Rfam family "Bacterial small subunit ribosomal RNA", at positions 527 to 896 of the family's 1533-position model. The record is from RNAcentral.
CGGGGGGGCUAGCGUUGUUCGGAAUUACUGGGCGUAAAGGGCGCGUAGGCGGUCUGCUAAGUUGGGUGUGAAAACUCUGGGCUUAACCCAGAGCCUGCAUUCAAAACUGACAGGCUAGAGUUCUGGAGGGGAUAGCGGAAUUCCUGGUGUAGCGGUGAAAUGCGUAGAUAUCAGGAGGAACACCGGUGGCGAAGGCGGCUAUCUGGACAGAGUCUGACGCUGAGGCGCGAAAGCUAGGGGAGCAAACAGGAUUAGAUACCCUGGUAGUCCUAGCCCUAAACGAUGGAUACUUGGUGUGACUGGGAUUGAAUCCAGUCGUGCCGAAGCUAACGCAUUAAGUAUCCCGCCUGGGGAGUACGGUCGCAAGGCUG